CACCACCUCCCCUUGCACCACCUCCAUGAGCAACCGCCUGAGAAACGGUGAUCGCACAUGCACUGUUUCUUCUGCCAAUCUGAAAAUUUGUGUCACAAAAAUAUGAGCAUAUAAUGAGAGAAAAAUUGGUGUACUGACCUGUUGGCAAGAUUUCUUGCAGAGAAGAUGCUAUUAUGGCCAUGGCAGAACAAAACAGUAUAUAAAUGCCUUGGCUGUUCUGCACUGCUCCCUGAUGUCAGUGGACUUCACUAAACAUGACUACGGCAUGUCAAAUGCUUAACAGGAGCUUUCAACAUUGUCGACAAAGGUAUGUUUCAAUUCCUUCUCCACCACUGUUCUUACUCAAAUUAAUGUUAAAUUAUCGGCCGUCCAUACUUUUGAUUCUUUUUAAAGUUAUCUCACUAUGAAAAACAUGAAAGAUAGCGUGGUUUAGUGGUU
Long non-coding RNA from Cucurbita moschata (crookneck pumpkin), 438 nucleotides. RefSeq lists it as uncharacterized. The transcript has 4 exons. Lineage: Eukaryota; Viridiplantae; Streptophyta; Magnoliopsida; Cucurbitales; Cucurbitaceae. The record is from RefSeq and is a predicted model, not a curated record.